AGAGUUUGAUCAUGGCUCAGGACGAACGCUGGCGGCGUGCCUAAUACAUGCAAGUCGAGCGAAUCGAUGGGAGCUUGCUCCCAUUGAUUAGCGGCGGACGGGUGAGUAACACGUGGGUAACCUGCCUGUAAGACUGGGAUAACUUCGGGAAACCGGAGCUAAUACCGGAUAGUUUCUUUUCUCGCAUGAGAGAAGAUGGAAAGAUGGUUUCGGCUAUCACUUACAGAUGGACCCGCGGCGCAUUAGCUAGUUGGUGAGGUAAUGGCUCACCAAGGCAACGAUGCGUAGCCGACCUGAGAGGGUGAUCGGCCACACUGGGACUGAGACACGGCCCAGACUCCUACGGGAGGCAGCAGUAGGGAAUCUUCCGCAAUGGACGAAAGUCUGACGGAGCAACGCCGCGUGAACGAAGAAGGCCUUCGGGUCGUAAAGUUCUGUUGUUAGGGAAGAACAAGUACGAGAGUAACUGCUCGUACCUUGACGGUACCUAACCAGAAAGCCACGGCUAACUACGUGCCAGCAGCCGCGGUA
This 531-nucleotide ribosomal RNA is filed under the name uncultured Bacillota bacterium. RNAcentral describes it as "bacterial SSU rRNA". It matches the Rfam family "Bacterial small subunit ribosomal RNA", at positions 8 to 522 of the family's 1533-position model. The record is from RNAcentral. Lineage: Bacteria; Bacillati; Bacillota.